Molecule: small RNA, 185 nt
Filed under: Arabidopsis thaliana (thale cress)
Lineage: Eukaryota; Viridiplantae; Streptophyta; Magnoliopsida; Brassicales; Brassicaceae
Description: ATSL144750
Source: RNAcentral
AGUAUAUAAAUAAACUCGAACCCGAACCGAACCCGACCUGAAAUCUUAAAAUGUUCUAUUUUCACUUAUUAUUACCUGAGUUAAAAUUCUUAAAAUAAAACAUAAGUAUAGUAACACAUCAAAGGAUGCAAGACACUCCAUCAUACGAUGAGUUAAAAUUCUUAGAAUAAAACAUAAGUAUUCAA